Molecule: ribosomal RNA, 253 nt
Filed under: uncultured bacterium
Lineage: Bacteria
Description: partial 16S ribosomal RNA
Rfam family: Bacterial small subunit ribosomal RNA
Source: RNAcentral
UACAGAGGGUGCGAGCGUUGUCCGGAAUCACUGGGCGUAAAGGGCGCGUAGGUGGCGCUGCAAGUCGGUGGUGAAAGCUCGUCGCUUAACGGCGAGUCGGCCAUCGAAACUGCAGGGCUCGAGCACUGUAGGGGCUAAUGGAAUUCCUGGUGUAGCGGUGAAAUGCGCAGAUAUCGGGAAGAACACCCGUGGCGAAGGCGGCUCUCUGGGACGGUACUGACGCUGAGACGCGAAAGCGUGGGGAGCGAACAGG